AUGUCAGUGUUUCGAGUCCUCUUAUCUCCAGCCCAUGAACUUAGCGGAUACUAUGAUAGCGAUAGCACCGAAUUUUGCCAAUUCGGCAGUUUGAUCUAUGAUUUCACAUUCAUGGAUGUUGAUAUCCUUCCAUUUAGUAGCACCUUAGGAUGGCAUAGCCUUAACGUUAAUGGCGAGGUUCAAAAUAGGAAAGGCUUGCGGUGGAUACCUAGGCACCCAUAGACGAGGAAUGACGUAGCAAGCGACGAAAUGCUUCGGGGAGUUGAAAAUAAGCAUAGAUCCGAAGAUUCCCAAAUAGGUCAACCUUUUAAACUUCCUGCUAAAUCCACGAGUAGGCAAGAGACAACCUGGCAAAUUGAAACAUCUUAG
This 369-nucleotide ribosomal RNA is filed under the name Triticum aestivum (bread wheat). RNAcentral describes it as "partial small subunit ribosomal RNA". The stretch from base 178 to 369 matches the Rfam family "Bacterial large subunit ribosomal RNA", at positions 1 to 206 of the family's 2925-position model. Lineage: Eukaryota; Viridiplantae; Streptophyta; Magnoliopsida; Poales; Poaceae. The record is from RNAcentral.